UAGAUAUUUUUUAAAAGUUAGUGUUAUCAUCAUUCAUAUCGCAAGCAAUUAUUUCGUCAAUUAGACGUAACGGCAGUUAGACUUCAGUAUAAAUUGCGUUUAGGUGCAGUACAGCUUAAACUUGCAUAGAUUUCCAUAUAUUUAUCCACAUCAAGGAUUCAGAUAUUCACGCAGAUAAAAUUAUAUAAAGAUGUCCAAGAUAACUAUUCUCAUAUUGUUGAUGGUAUUUCUGGCUAUUGAAAUAAACGCUUGCGGGGAGCAUGCAGUUCCUUGUUCUACGGAUGGGGAAUGCUGCAGUAACGAAUGUAAGGAAAAUUACAUGGGCCGUAAACAAUGUAAAGAUCUAUAUAAUUAUCUGGGUAGAAAUUCAGUAGACAAAUGAAUUGUUACUUUAUUAACAAUAAUUAUAUUAAUAAUAAUAACAAUUAUUAUUAUUAUUAUUAAACACUAUGACAAAAAUUGUAGUGAAUGAAAUAAAAAAAUAAUAUCAAUAAAAAGUGUUUAAAUUUUAUUAAAAUCAUGUCCUCAGUCCGUCCCCUUGAAUUUUAUAUUUCUUAUCUAUCGGGGGUGAGGGUCGCAGGUUAGAGGCUGGGUCACGGCUUUGAGGUCACAAGAAAAUAAGAAUUUAAUCUCGAGAAAAUUUAUUUUAUAACAACAAAACAGAGUUAUCAUUUGAUGCGCGCUGGAAUUUUCCGACAACUCGUCAGCGAGUUCAAAUGUAGAAGUGAAAAAAAAAUAUUAUGAUUAUAUAAGUGUCAUCUUGAAGACUUGCAGAUUUAAUAUACAGUUUAAUUGUUGAUGACAAAGCAGCUGAGUCUCGUUAAUAAAAUUUAAAGAAAUGUCAAGAGUCAGUAUUCUAAUAUUUUUGAUCGUUUUGGUGGCUGUUGGAAUCAACGCGUGUGUUAAUCAUGGCGGGGACUGCACGACAGAUUCUGAAUGCUGCAGUGAAGAUUGUCGCACAGACUACUUCGGCCAUUUGAGGUGUGGAGACAUCUGCCAAUGGGGUGUCAAACAAUGUUGAAAUUUAAUUCUAUCAAUUUUAUCAACAAUUCAGAUAAAAAUUAUUGUAUUUGUUUAUGAAAAUAUAUAAUUUAUAAAUCUCUAA
Long non-coding RNA from Microplitis mediator, 1105 nucleotides. RefSeq lists it as uncharacterized. NCBI's taxonomy places the organism in Eukaryota, Metazoa, Arthropoda, Insecta, Hymenoptera, Braconidae. The transcript is spliced from 4 exons. The record is from RefSeq and is a predicted model, not a curated record.